Molecule: ribosomal RNA, 415 nt
Filed under: uncultured crenarchaeote
Lineage: Archaea; Thermoproteati; Thermoproteota
Description: partial 16S ribosomal RNA
Rfam family: Archaeal small subunit ribosomal RNA
Source: RNAcentral
GUGCAGCAGUCGCGAAAACUCUGCAAUACGCGAAAGCGUGACAGGGCUACCCCGAGUGUCGUCCGCUGAGGACGACUUUUCUACGCUGUAAGGAGGCGGGGGAAUAAGGAGAGGGCAAGUCUGGUGUCAGCCGCCGCGGUAAUACCAGCUCUCCGAGUGGUAGGGACGUUUAUUGGGCUUAAAGCGUCCGUAGCCGGCUCAACAAGUCUCCCGUUAAAUCCAACGAUUCAAUCGUUGGACUGCGGGAGAUACUGCUAGGCUAGGAGGCGAGAGAGGCCGACGGUAUUCCCGGAGUAGGGGUAAAAUCUUAUAAUUCCGGGACGACCACCAGUGGCGUAGGCUGUCGGCUAGAACGCGCUCGACAGUGAGGGACGAAAGCUGGGGUAGCGAACCGGAUUAGAUACCCGCGGAGUCC